This is an RNA transcript of Triticum aestivum (bread wheat), 5305 nucleotides long. It is a transcript of the gene named disease resistance protein RGA2-like, with no coding region annotated. The record is from RefSeq and is a predicted model, not a curated record. Lineage: Eukaryota; Viridiplantae; Streptophyta; Magnoliopsida; Poales; Poaceae. The transcript is spliced from 9 exons.
AUGGCCCUCCCCUGGCCCUGGUGGCUCACCCUCGCAGCCUCGCUGGUCCGCAGCACGAGGGUGUGCCGGGAGAGAUGUCGGGGUUGCUUGGCACGGUGGUUGAUGCAACAAUAGGAUGGCUGGUGCAAAGCAUCCUUGACAGCUUCUUUACUGGACGUAUGGAAGCCUGGACUCGUGAAAUCGGGCUUGCUGAAGAUGUGGAGAAGCUCAAAUUUCAGAUGAGGGACGUGCAGAUGGUUCUUGCUGCUGCCGAGGGAAGGAGGAUUGACAAUAUGCCUCUGGCCCUGUCACUGGAUGGUCUCAGAGAGCUACUUUAUGAUUCAGAGGACGUGAUGGAUGAGCUUGACUACUACCGACUUGAGCAAUAGAUCACAGAAGGGAAAGGUUGUAGUGCUCCUACUGGUACUAAUCUUGAGGGAAGCUAUGUGUCUUCAUCCACUCUAUCUUCUGUUGUUAAAUCAGUAUGCAGCGCCACAAGCCAAAUAACUGACUGGAUCUCACGUGGCAGAAAAAGGAAACGUGAAGAAGAGGGGCCUGCUCAUUGUAACAUGCUGCCUUUUGAGAUUAAAGAUAGCAUUUCCAAGAGGAUCAAUGUAAUAGUGAAUCUUCUAUGCAGUAGUAGCAAUUCUGUAAAGGGGGUUCUUCAGCUUGAGAACUUGCGCACCAUGGCAACAUCAAGUAAGAGUCAGAAUAUUGCCAGGGAUCAUCGCAUGACAACUUCUGUUCCGAUUGAGUAUAAGGUGUACGGAAGAGAUGCAGAGAGAGACGAGAUAAUAGAUCUGUUGAUAAAGGGGGGAUCUAGUGAUCUGAAUGUUCUGCCAGUGGUUGGCAGUGGUGGUAUUGGGAAGACGACGCUUGUUAGAUAUGUAUACCAUGCUAAAAGAAUUAAAGAUCAUUUUGAUUUGCUAAUAUGGGUCUGUGUAUCCACUAACUUCGAUGUAGUGGGGCUAACACUUCAGAUCCUAGAUCAUGUAUGUGAAGAUAGACCAUAUGAAAAAAAAAGCAGUUUGAAUAAAUUGCAGGAGAUACUUCAAGAAAAUAUUAGAAACAAAAGAUUUCUGCUUGUAAUGGAUGAUAUGUGGGAAGAGAAGGACAGGGGUGGAUGGAUUAAACUUUUGGCUCCAUUGAAAAGUAAUAAAGUAAAAAGGUUGCAUGGUACUAGCAACAACCAGAACAAAAUCAGUGGCAAAAAUGAUAGGAACUAUGGAUGAAAUCACAUUGAGUGGUCUGGAUGAGAAGGAGUUUUGGCUGUUUUUCAAGGCAUGUGCAUUUCGCAAUGACAACUGCGAGCACCAUCCUAGUUUGCAAUAUAUUGGGAAACAAAUUGCUAAAGCACUAAAAGGCUUCCCACUAGCUGCACAAAGUGUUGGUGCACUUCUGAGCACAGAAGUUAGCUAUCAGCAUUGGACGACAGUUCGGGACAAACGGAAAUCUCUUCAAGGAUAUGAUGAUGAUAUUUUACCCAUCUUGAAGCUCAGUUAUGAUUAUCUACCAGUCUACCUUCAGCGGUGUUUCUCAUACUGCUCUUUGUAUCCAGAGGACUACGGAUUUGAUGGGAAAGAAUUGGUCCAUGCCUGGAUAUCACAAAAUUUUGUGCAGUGCAAAGAUCCUACCAUAAGACUGGAGGAAACAGGGCAUGAAUAUUUGGAAAAAUUAGUGGAUUUGGGCUUCUUCCAAAAGGAUGGCUCACACUAUGUUAUGCAUGACCUAAUGCAUGUAUUGGCAGGGAUGGUUUCAUCAAAUGAGUGUGCUACUAUAGAUGGAUUGAAAUCCGGGGCAAUUCGAGCAAGUGUUCGGCAUUUGUCGAUCAUAAUUGCUGAUUAUGAUAAAGAUGAACAUGUCAGCAAUUCUAGUGAGAAGUUUGACAAAAUACUUCAGAAGGUGUCUUGGCACAAAUUGAGGACAUUGAUGUUGUUUGGGCGAAGCAGCAUACAUUUAUCAGGGCCAUUGCGUACUUUAUGCAAUGAGGCAAAAUGUUUACGGUUGCUAAGUGUGACAGGUGCUGACAUCAGCUCUAUAUACAAUUCGUCAAAUCUAUUCCAUCUUCGCUAUAUAUCAGCAUACAGAGUCAGCAACCCUGCGUUUCGUCAAGCUUUGACAAGAUGUUAUCACCUUCAAGUACUGGAUGUGGGCAUUUCGGGCAAUCUUGAUGUACCUACUGACAUGAAUAAUCUUGUGAAUCUGCGUCAUCUUAUUGCUCAUGAGAAAGUGCACCACGCAAUAGAUUGUGUCAGCAACAUGACCUCUCUUCAGGAAUUAAAAUUCAAGGUUCAAAAUGUUGGCAGUUUUGAGAUAGGACAACUUCAGUCCAUGAAUGAGCUUGUAUCACUAGGAGUUUCUCAACUUGAAAAUGUGAAGACUAAAGAAGAGGCGUGGGCAGCCAUGCUGACACACAAAGAGUAUCUAGAAACAAUGUUCUUGUCAUGGGAGAAUAGCAGCAUGAGCCUUCAACCUGAGGCUGCAGAGGAUGUGCUUGAUGGUCUUCAACCACAUCAGAACCUCAAAACUCUAGAAAUAACUGGAUAUGGUGGUGCUAUCUCCCCAACCUGGCUUUCCAGUGCCUUUUCAGUUACCUCACUGCAGAUACUUCAUCUGGAGGAGUGUAGGGAAUGGCAAAUUCUAUCUACUCAUGGAAUGCAUUCCCUUAGGAAGCUGACAUUGAUCAGGAUGUUGAAUUUAAUGGAACUCUCAGUUCCUUCCUUGGUAGAGUUGAUCCUGAUUGGCAUACCAAAAUUGAAAAAAUGUACCGGUUCUUAUGGAAUGGAUUUGACUUCCCAUUUAAGUGUUUUGAUGAUCAAGAACUGCCCUCAACUGAAUGAGCUCACUCUUUUCCAGAGUUACUCUUCUUUCGACGCUGAGCAGAAAUCCUGGUUUCCAUCUCUCAGCAAACUGUCCAUCGGGCAGUGUCCUCAUAUAAUCAACAACUGGCCAAUCCUUCCACUAAGAGAAAUGGGGGCACUCAAGGAGUUGGAGUUGAUGGAUCUGCAUGUUGUCAGAGUGUCAGUUCCUUCUCUGGAGAAGUUGGCGUUGACUAAAAUGCCAAUCCUGGAAUAUUGCAGCAGUCUAACGACUUUUCCACCUCUCCAAUCUUCACCUCCUGAAGGAGAUCAGAAUGAAUUGGUGUCUAAUCUCCGUAGACUCACCAUCCAUGAUUGCCCAUGUUUGAUAGUGUCACAUCCUCUUCCGCCUUCUGCUCUAAUUUCUGAGUUGUCCAUCAGUGGGGUUUCGACACUUCCAACAAUGAGGAUAAACUGGAGACGUUUCACUAUCGAAUCUAAUGAGUUGUGUAUGCUGGAUGAGAGUAUCUUGGCAUUUCAUAAUCUGAGGGGCAUAACAUUGUUUCGAAUAAGAAGCUGUCCAAAUCUGAUCUCUCUUUCAAGUGAAUCUUUCAGCCAGCUCAUUGCUUUAGAGACUUUAUCUAUACAUGAAUGCCCUAAUCUUACUAUGUCAAACAUUAUGCCAGAGGUUGUCCAGGAAAACAGCACAUCUACAAGCAGCCUUGUCCCCCCAUCUCUCAAACGUGUCAACAUUAGCACAUGUGGCGUAACUGGGAGGUGGCUAUCUCAACUGCUUUCACAUUCGCAGUCCCUUGAGGAGUUGCUGUUAACUGGCUGUCCGCAGAUAAAGUUUCUAUCAAUCAGUCAACCUAGAGAAACGGAAGGGACCAGCAGUUUGGUUUCAGCAGUGACGACCUCGGCCCAAGAUGAACAUGAAUUGAAACUGCCAUAUAAUCUCCUAUGUUCUCUCAAGGCGCUAUGCAUUCAGCAAAGCCUGGAUCUGAAGUUCAUUGGGGGUAAUACAGGCUCUACAAGAUUCAGCUCUCUUACGCAGCUUUUCCUUCAUGGUUGCCCCAAGCUACUCUCAUUGUUGGUGGGUGAAACAAAAGAUGAUGGUACCAUGGAUGUUGGAUUACUCCCACCAUCACUUGAAGACCUUAGUAUCGGUCCUCUCCCAGAAAACUUGCAGUCAUUCACUCCUGAAGGCCUUUUGUACCUCAAAAAGUUACGUCUAUCUUAUGGCCCAUGUUUGAAGUCUGUACAGCUGCAUUCCUGUACGGCCUUAGAGGAGCUGGAUAUCAUGGGGUGUGUCCAGCUGACUGUACUGGAGGGCUUGCAGUUUCUCAGCUCCCUUCGAAGCUUGAAGAUGGAGAUGAAUUCCGAGCUGUCUUGUGCAUGGGAUCUCAAACUGCAGGAACAAGAGCAGGGUGGGAAUCAAAUUCAGUUAUUUCCUCGGUCACUUGAUAAACUUGAGAUCACGGCCGUCACGGACAGGGUCCAAUCCCGUCUUCUGUCCUGCCUUCCUGCCAUGACCAAAUUAGCAGUACAGAGAAGUCCGGAACUGACGUCUCUACAGUUGGCAUGCUGCACGGCACUGAAAGAGUUGGAAAUUGGAGACUGCGACUUGCUUGCGUCGAUCGAGGGCCUCCAGUUCUGUAGAAACCUGACAUCCUUGAAAGUAUUUAACUCCCCCGGCCUACCUUCCUGUUUUCAACUUUUGUCCGACCAGCAAGGUGUCUGUGAAGUAUGGUCUGGAUUGAAAACUCUUGUGGCUAGUGACGCAUCUAUCCUGUCCAGGCCGUUCUGCAAACAGCUGACUUCCCUAAGACGUCUACAGUUUGGCUCUGCGUAUAGUGCAAGCUUGGUGAACCUAACAGACGAACAAGAGAGAGCUUUACAGCUUCUAACCUCACUCCAAGAACUUCAAUUCCUGAGAUGCCCGAAUCUCUUAUCACUUCCUGCAAUCCUAUAUAGCCUGACCUCCCUCGGAACAUUAUCUAUCGUACAUUGUAGGAGCAUCACAAGGUUGCCAGACAUGGGCUUUGCACCUUCGCUCAGUCACCUUGAGGGGCAUUGUGACCAGUUGCUCAUCGCCAUGAGCUUCCGCUAUAGCAAGCCUUACCAUGGUGUGUAUUGGCAGUUGGGCCAUGCCCAUGAAAAACUGAAGAAGCGCAGUGGGUGACACUCAACCCGUGUUACCCAUCAAGGUUGGGUCAUCACUAAAUUUGAAGUUCCUGGAGAUGCUCUCAUCGAGCUCGGCAAAGAGAGCUUUCUGGCCGCCCAUUUAGUUUGAGGCACCUGUGUUCAGAACUUCAGAUACUAGGCCUCGUAGAAAGCUUUGUAUAAGAUGAUAGGAAAAGAAGCCACCCUGUUUGUAUUCUACUGUAUAACGAGGCAACAAAUAUUUCCAAAGCCGAAGUGCUACCAUUUGUGGAACAGAGGGAGACCACACCCGGAUUAAAGAUGGAAAGUAGAAAUACAGUAGAAUGACGACACCACUCAGUAAGAAUUGAAUUUGUACUUUGCUA